This 72-nucleotide transfer RNA is filed under the name Oreochromis niloticus (Nile tilapia). It matches the Rfam family "tRNA". Rfam says of the family: Transfer RNA (tRNA) molecules are approximately 80 nucleotides in length. Their secondary structure includes four short double-helical elements and three loops (D, anti-codon, and T loops). The record is from Rfam by way of RNAcentral. Lineage: Eukaryota; Metazoa; Chordata; Actinopteri; Cichliformes; Cichlidae.
GUGAUGGUGGUAUAGUGGUUAGCAUAACUGCCUUCCAAGCAGUUGCCUUAGGUUCAAAUCCCGGCCAUCGCA